RNAcentral lists this ribosomal RNA (216 nucleotides) under uncultured Glomeromycotina. RNAcentral describes it as "partial small subunit ribosomal RNA". The stretch from base 39 to 216 matches the Rfam family "Eukaryotic small subunit ribosomal RNA", at positions 685 to 864 of the family's 1831-position model. Lineage: Eukaryota; Fungi; Glomeromycota. The record is from RNAcentral.
GGGUUAGUAGGUUGGUCAUGCCUCCGGUAUGUACUGGCUUCACUGAUUCCUCCUUCCUGAUGAGCCGUAAUGCCAUUAAUUUGGUGUUGCGAGGAAUCUGGACUGUUACUUUGAAAAAAUUAGAGUGUUUAAAGCAGGCUAACGCUUGAAUACAUUAGCAUGGAAUAAUGAAAUAGGACGUUCGAUCCUAUUUUGUUGGUUUCUAGGAUCGACGUA